RNAcentral lists this microRNA (22 nucleotides) under Homo sapiens (human). Its description in RNAcentral is "hsa-miR-1252-5p". The record is from miRBase by way of RNAcentral. Lineage: Eukaryota; Metazoa; Chordata; Mammalia; Primates; Hominidae.
AGAAGGAAAUUGAAUUCAUUUA